This 358-nucleotide long non-coding RNA is filed under the name Ricinus communis (castor bean). RNAcentral's name for it is "long non-coding RNA (RCOM_LNC001337)". Lineage: Eukaryota; Viridiplantae; Streptophyta; Magnoliopsida; Malpighiales; Euphorbiaceae. The record is from RNAcentral.
AUGAAAAAUAGUAAAAUUGAGACUAUCAGUCUCGAGAGUGAGUUAAAAUCAUAUAUCCAAAAAUAUUUACAACACUUCCAUAACACAUUUAUUUAAUGUGAAAUAAAUAAUAAGUCAUGCAAAAAUAAGCGUGUCAUGUCAUGCUUAUAUAAAAUAAUUUUCACACACUAUGGGACGGAGUACCUCAGCAGAAUCCUAAUCCCAACACCAAACAUCUCGACUCUCUCUCUCAUUUUAACAAAACUGGUGCCUAGAGAGCGAGGCUCGACCAUGGUCCUUAAAUCCACUUCAGACACUUAAUUAUCACUAACACUCUUAGCCUUUCGGCUCUCUUACUCCAAUAAGACUGGCGCCCAAA